Molecule: non-coding RNA, 108 nt
Filed under: alpha proteobacterium AAP81b
Lineage: Bacteria; Pseudomonadati; Pseudomonadota; Alphaproteobacteria
Description: TPP riboswitch aptamer (THI element)
Rfam family: TPP riboswitch aptamer (THI element)
About the family: Vitamin B(1) in its active form thiamin pyrophosphate (TPP) is an essential coenzyme that is synthesised by coupling of pyrimidine and thiazole moieties in bacteria. The previously detected thiamin-regulatory element, thi box was extended, resulting in a new, highly conserved RNA secondary structure, the THI element, which is widely distributed in eubacteria and also occurs in some archaea.
Source: Rfam by way of RNAcentral
CACUGAACCCCGGGGGGCCGGCUCGACCGGCUGAGAGGUGGCUGUUGGCCACGACCCGCCGAACCUGAUCCGGUUAGAACCGGCGGAGGGAGGGUGCGCCGAAACCCG